This 1097-nucleotide non-coding RNA is filed under the name Microvelia paludicola. The record is from RNAcentral. Lineage: Eukaryota; Metazoa; Arthropoda; Insecta; Hemiptera; Veliidae.
AUAAGUCAUGAGAUAACUAGGAAUGUUAUAGGUAAAUAAGUAAAUAGUGAGAUAUGUUAGUUAGAACUAAAUAGGAAUGGAAUGAUUAAUAAGUAUUUAUUGUUGUAUAAAGGCUAGUAGGUAUAUAAGGAGUAUAUUAGUUAUAUGUAGUUAAGAGAUAUAUUUAUAUAAAUAUUUAAUGGAGGACCGCAGGGAGUCAUGAGAGGUGAGCAGGAAGGGGAGGAGAUAUUCUUUUUGUUCCAUUAUUUCUUAAUUUUGUUAAAAUUUAAGUUUGAUUCUUGCUUUAUUAUUUGAAUUUUGAAUUAUUUUAUAUGUAAGAUUUUCUUUUUUUCUAAAUGAUUUUUUAUCAGUAUUUAAUUUUAGUUUUUGUUUUCUGACAAAACUAGGUUUUUAAUAUUUAACUGACAAAAAUUGUGCCAGCUGUCGCGGUUAUACAAUUAGUUAAAUUAAAUAUUUUUGGUGUUAUAUUAUUUCUUUAUUUUAUAAUUUAAUUUAAUAUUUUAAGGUGAAAUUUUGAUAUUAUAUAAUCUUAUUGGUUGAUUACUUUAUAUAUGAAAACUAUUAAUAAACUAGGAUUAGAUACCCUAUUAUAAUAGUUGUAAAUUUGCUUUAAUAUUAAUAGUUAUGAUCUUUAAAUUAAAAGAAUUUGGCGGUUAUUUAAUCUUUCUAGAGGAACCUGUCAUGUAAUUGAUAAUCCACGAUUGAUUUUACUUUUAUUUAACUUACAUAUCGCUGUCAUUGAAUGUUUUAUAAGAAUUUAAUUUUCUUUAAUUUUUAUGAAUAUAAUGUUAGGUCAAGAUGUAGUAAUAUAAAAGAAUAGAUGGGUUACAAUUUUUAUAUAAAUGGAUUAGUAAUUGUAAUUUUACUAUAAAAUUGGAUUUAGGUGUAAUUUUUAAUAAAUAUUAAUUUUGAUUUUAGUUCUAAAUAAUGUACACAUCGCCCGUCGCUCUCAUUAUUAAGUUGGGAUAAGUCGUAACAAAGUAGUCCUACCGGAAGGUGGGUCUGGAUAUUUCAAGUUAAUUCAUUAAGUGAAGUUAUUAUUUACAUUAAUAAAUUUGUUGUGCAAUUCAAUAUAACUUGAAAUAAUUAUUUAAUUA